This 333-nucleotide ribosomal RNA is filed under the name Paracoccaceae bacterium. RNAcentral's name for it is "bacterial SSU rRNA". It matches the Rfam family "Bacterial small subunit ribosomal RNA", at positions 1 to 364 of the family's 1533-position model. The record is from RNAcentral. Lineage: Bacteria; Pseudomonadati; Pseudomonadota; Alphaproteobacteria; Rhodobacterales; Paracoccaceae.
CAACUUGAGAGUUUGAUCCUGGCUCAGAACGAACGCUGGCGGCAGGCCUAAUACAUGCAAGUCGAGCGCACCUUCGGGUGAGCGGCGGACGGGUUAGUAACGCGUGGGAAUAUGCCCAAAGGUACGGAAUAGCCUCUGGAAACGGAGAGUAAUACCGUAUGUGCCCUUCGGGGGAAAGAUUUAUCGCCUUUGGAUUAGCCCGCGUUGGAUUAGGUAGUUGGUGGGGUAAUGGCCUACCAAGCCUACGAUCCAUAGCUGGUUUGAGAGGAUGAUCAGCAACACUGGGACUGAGACACGGCCCAGACUCCUACGGGAGGCAGCAGUAGGGAAUCU